RNAcentral lists this ribosomal RNA (254 nucleotides) under uncultured bacterium. Its description in RNAcentral is "partial 16S ribosomal RNA". It matches the Rfam family "Bacterial small subunit ribosomal RNA", at positions 524 to 776 of the family's 1533-position model. The record is from RNAcentral.
CACGUAGGGGGCAAGCGUUGUCCGGAUUUAUUGGGCGUAAAGAGCUCGUAGGCGGCUUAGUAAGUCGGGUGUGAAACCUCCAGGCUCAACCUGGAGACGCCACUCGAUACUGCCGUGGCUAGAGUCCGGUAGAGGAGCGUAGAAUUCCUGGUGUAGCGGUGAAAUGCGCAGAUAUCAGGAGGAAUACCAGCGGCGAAGGCGGCGCUCUGGGCCGGAACUGACGCUGAGGAGCGAAAGCGUGGGGAGCAAACAGG